CUGGUAAAGGCAGUAGGCCUUCACCGUGAUCUGCAGAAUGCUGAUAUAUUGAAUCUGAGAUCAUGGUGAAAGCUAUUUGCCUUGCACCA
Molecule: microRNA precursor, 89 nt
Filed under: Thelazia callipaeda (thelaziosis nematode)
Lineage: Eukaryota; Metazoa; Nematoda; Chromadorea; Rhabditida; Thelaziidae
Description: mir-81 microRNA precursor family
Rfam family: mir-81 microRNA precursor family
Source: Rfam by way of RNAcentral